GAGACCCACGCCCACAGUUGCCAGCGUACUCUCCGGAGUGACGGGUACACUGUGGGGACCGCCGCUGCUAAAGCGGAGGAAGGAAUGGGCAACGGUAGGUCAGUAUGCCCCGAAUACCCCGGGCUACACGCGAGCUACAAUGGCUGGUACAAUGGGUAUCUACCCCGAAAGGGGAUGGAAAUCUCCUAAAGCCAGUCUCAGUUCGGAUUGGGGGCUGCAACUCGCCCCCAUGAAGCUGGAAUCCGUAGUAAUCGCAUAUCAACAGUAUGCGGUGAAUACC
RNAcentral lists this ribosomal RNA (280 nucleotides) under uncultured bacterium. Its description in RNAcentral is "partial 16S rRNA". It matches the Rfam family "Archaeal small subunit ribosomal RNA", at positions 1047 to 1325 of the family's 1478-position model. The record is from RNAcentral.